UGAUAGCUAUGAAGCGUGAGGUUGCUGUGUGCCAUACACAGGUUUUCCGUGGAGCGAAUGUCAAGUUAGGAAACUGGCGACAA
This 83-nucleotide non-coding RNA is filed under the name pig gut metagenome. RNAcentral's name for it is "S10-Clostridia ribosomal protein leader". It matches the Rfam family "S10-Clostridia ribosomal protein leader". The record is from RNAcentral.